This is a long non-coding RNA of Salvia splendens (bonfire salvia), 2955 nucleotides long. RefSeq lists it as uncharacterized. The transcript is spliced from 3 exons. The record is from RefSeq and is a predicted model, not a curated record. Lineage: Eukaryota; Viridiplantae; Streptophyta; Magnoliopsida; Lamiales; Lamiaceae.
UUGAGCGUCAUGCGUCUUAGGGAGAGACGCAUGAGGCUCAUGCGUCUCUAAAUCGCCCCUAAGACGCAUGAGGCUCAUGCGUCUCUAAAUCGCAUAAAUCAGACGAGGGAGAGGCAGUAGCCUCAUUCAGACGCGGCAGAAAGGGAGAAAGGCGAUUUCUUGGCCACAUUCCGUUAUAUUCCGAAAUCAUGCCAGUAUUCAUGAGUUUAUAUUGGGAUGGUAGAAUAGUUCAACUUCCUCAAGUGUGCAUUGGUUAUGAUCCACCUCGUGCGAGAGCCUCCAUCGUAUUGAAUUCGUGUGUUUCAUUUUCCGAAUUAGUUGCAAUGAUAUAUGCUAAGAUAAAGAUAGAUUCAAAUCAACACUCCAUCAUUGUUUCUUGGGUACCGCGAGGUAUAUAUGCACUAGGGUUGACAGUGAUGGCAGUGUGAUGUUUAUGUUCAAUGAGGCUUUAAAUUAUACUCGUCAUAUUGAAUUAUUUGUUGAGUAUGCGUCUAUUGGAAAUGCCUUAAUCCUACCAGUUGUUGAUUAUGGUGUUGGAUCAUCUACGAGGGUUGAACCUAUGAGCAUUGAUUGCGGUAUGAAUGAGCAAACAGAUGUUGCAGAUGCUGUAGAUGUUGGAUUGAAUACUCAAGAGAAUGUUCAAGAGCAUAUUGAUGUUCAUGUUGUACGAGGAGACCUUGAUCAACCAUUGUCGUCAUCAUCAUCUGAUGAUAUUUUAAGUGAUGAUUAAUGUGAUCUUUCUAGUGAUGAGGAGGUAGUGUGUAAACCCGUCGUGCAAGGUGAACAGCCACUUCCAGAAUACGUUCACAGUGGGUUGAAAUAUUUUCGCAGACCGCCGAGUGGUCCUUCUGAGGUACCUGAAGUUGGUAAUGAACGCAGUACUAUGUACUGGGAUGAAGAACACUCGUAUCGGAUUAAUGCGGGAACAAAAUUUGAUAGCAAGCUGCAUGUGAAGACUGCUAUUACCAUGUGGAGUCUGAGGCAACACCGACAAUUUAGGGUGGUUGAGAGCAAAUUAAGAAGGUGGCAUGCCGUAUGCAAAUAUCCAGCAGGGAGGACAGAAGAUGGGAUAGCUAUUAUCAGCAAGACCGACGCUGAAAAAGCGAAUGAAUGUCGGUGUGAAGUUUCUGUUACACAAAUGGCCAUGAUGAUAUGUGGGAGAUUAGGAAGUGGGUGGGACGCCAUAGUUGUGAAGGCCAUCGUAAUGAUAGAGGACAUGCUAACUUUUCAUCACCAAUGAUUGCUUUGUGUACUCGCCAUCAGUUGCUAAAAAAUGCCGAGUUCAAAGCCGCAGUCGUAAGAAAUUUUGUUCAUGACAAAUUUCAUGUGGUAAUCAGUUAUAAGAAGGCAUGGUAUGCACGGAGAAGGACUUUAGAGAUUGUAUUUGGUGGAUGGGAGGAGUCAUUUAGGGAUUUGCCAAGCUACAUGCUUGAACUGUAGUCUAGGAAUCCAGGCACAAUCGUUGAGUGGAGGCAUAACGAGUUGUUGAGCCAGGGUCGUAAUAAAGUCUUCUAUUACGUUUUCUGAGCACUUUGGCAUGCUAUACAUGCUUUCCAAGAGUGUCAACCAGUUUUAACAAUAGACGGGACUCACCUUCGAGGAAGGUUUGAAGGUAAGUUGCUUGUUGCUUGUGGUGUUGAUGCUAACAAGAAAUGUCUGUCUAUUGCAUAUGCUGUUGUUGAUGAAGAAACUAGCGACAGUUGGGAGUGGUUUUGGAUCAUGUCAGAAUUCAUGUGUUGAAAUACCAAAGGGAGGUUUGCAUCAUUUCGGAUAGGCAUAAAGGAAUCCUUAAGGCUAUGCGUUCUGAUGAAUGGAAAAAGCCGUUGAUAUGUCACCACAAAUUUUGUUUGAUCCAUGCGAGGAAAAAUAUCUUGACGAAACUUAAGGGUAAGGGAGAUAGAGUGAAAGGCAUGGUAUGGGCAUUGGGUGUCACAACUCAAGUACGCAAAUACAUGCGAAGGCGACGUGCACUACGGGAGGAAAGUCUUGUUGCGAUACACGAGCUUAACAAAGCCAAAAAAGAAAACUGGUCUCUUUGUUACGAUGAUGAACUGAGAUGGGGGGUGCCCUCAACAAACAUGUCAGAGAGCUACAACAACGUGUUGAGAGGUAUAAGAGAGUUGCCAAUUAGAGCUUUGGUUGAUCUGACAUUUUGGAGAACAGUGCAAUGGUGGGCAGAUAGAAAGACAUAAAUACAACAUACCGAAGGUCGGUUGACCUCGUGGGCGAGGGACAAACUUGCUGCGAAUGAUGCGAAGGGGCAACUGCAUUACUGUUCAGUACUUGCCAGAGAACUAGGUCAUUACCAAAUUCUAAGUCGUCCACGUGUCGAAAAGGGACAGGCAAAGGGCAAUAACAGACAAGACGUCGAGUUUAUGGAUUCAAAGUGCAGUUGAGGGAAGUGGCAGAUGUGGAGAGUUCCUUGUUCACAUGCGUGCGCCGUUGCCAGAGAUAGAGGUAACUCUAUGUUUGAACUCAUUGAUAAACACAACCACAAAGUUACAUGGGAAGCACAGUACUAUGGUGGCUCAUUUCAAGCACCAAGACACGAAGACUAUUGGACAAAACCUGGAUGGAAAUUGCGUAUCACCCCUGAGCAGUUGCUUCCUCGAAAGCGCGGACGAGGCAGAACACGGAGGAUUCCUAAUCAAAUGGAUGUCCGGAGGAAGAUGAACCGAGAGCUCCCCGCAAGUGCGGGAAUUGCGGCGUAGAGGGUCAUGACCGAAGAAAUUGCACAGUCGGUCGUGUUAUGUAGGAGCUUCCUGAAGAAAUUGUUGACAUCUGUAGUGCAGGAGCUGGAGACGAAGAUGAAUUAGCAGGAGAACAAUAUUAUUUUGAUGAAUUGUAAUUUCUUCUAUCUGACACCAAUUAGACGGUUUUGUUUUGCUACAAUUCUGCUGAUGAAAUGUUCCUUGUAAUUUCUUCUGUGUAUCUGCCACUCUACAUGACUAUCGA